GACAGAGGGUGCAAACGCUGUUCGGAAUUACUGGGCGUAAAGCGUGCGUAGACGGUUAUUUAAGUCAGGUGUGAAAGCCCCGGGCUCAACCUGGGAAUUGCAUUUGAGACUGAAUAGCUAGGGUGCGGAAGAGGGAAGCGGAAUUUCCGGUGUAGCGGUGAAAUGCGUAGAUAUCGGAAGGAACACCAGUGGCGAAAGCGGCUUCCUGGUCCAGCAUCGACGUUCAGGCACGAAAGCGUGGGGAGCAAACAGG
This 253-nucleotide ribosomal RNA is filed under the name uncultured bacterium. RNAcentral's name for it is "partial 16S ribosomal RNA". It matches the Rfam family "Bacterial small subunit ribosomal RNA", at positions 524 to 776 of the family's 1533-position model. The record is from RNAcentral.